AUUAUAAAACGAUCUUUUAAGCUA
This 24-nucleotide non-coding RNA is filed under the name Arabidopsis thaliana (thale cress). Lineage: Eukaryota; Viridiplantae; Streptophyta; Magnoliopsida; Brassicales; Brassicaceae. The record is from RNAcentral.